GAUGAACGCUGGCGGCGUGCCUAACACAUGCAAGUCGAACGGAGAAUCAGCAAUGAUUCUUAGUGGCGAACGGGUGAGUAACGCGUAGACAACCUGCCUUCUAGAUGGGGACAACACUGCGAAAGUGGUGCUAAUACCGAAUGUUGUAUUAAGCCUGCAUGGGCUUGAUACUAAAGGUGGCCUCAAUUUAUAAGCUACCACUAGAAGAUGGGUCUGGGUCUGAUUAGCUAGUUGGUGAGGUAAUAGCUCACCAAGGCGAUGAUCAGUAGCCGGUCUGAGAGGAUGAACGGCCACACUGGGACUGAGACACGGCCCAGACUCCUACGGGAGGCAGCAGUGGGGAAUCUUCCGCAAUGGACGAAAGUCUGACGGAGCAACGCCGCGUGAGUGAAGAAGGUUUUCGGAUCGUAAAGCUCUGUCUUUGAGGACGAAUGUGUCUAAUGUAAAUAAUGUUAGAUAAUGACGGUACUCGAGGAGGAAGCCACGGCUAACUACGUGCCAGCCGCCGCCGUAA
Molecule: ribosomal RNA, 514 nt
Filed under: uncultured bacterium
Lineage: Bacteria
Description: partial 16S ribosomal RNA
Rfam family: Bacterial small subunit ribosomal RNA
Source: RNAcentral